AGGGAUUGAUCUUUUGGCUAAGCUCAAGUGUGGUAUCUGUUCUUAUCAGUUUAACAUCUGAUACCUCCUGUAUCUGAGGACAGUGUAUUCCAUUGAUUUGGGGAGCGGGGGCUAGAAUAAGAGCUUGCUUUGGGUACUCCAUUCAUCGUUUCCCUGGUCCCCGGGUGCUUAACGGGGUUGAUAUACU
Small nuclear RNA from Panthera tigris altaica (Amur tiger), 187 nucleotides. Its record names the gene U2. It matches the Rfam family "U2 spliceosomal RNA". Rfam says of the family: U2 is a small nuclear RNA (snRNA) component of the spliceosome (involved in pre-mRNA splicing). Complementary binding between U2 snRNA (in an area lying towards the 5' end but 3' to hairpin I) and the branchpoint sequence (BPS) of the intron results the bulging out of an unpaired adenosine, on the BPS, which initiates a nucleophilic attack at the intronic 5' splice site, thus starting the first of two transesterification reactions that mediate splicing. The record is from Ensembl. Lineage: Eukaryota; Metazoa; Chordata; Mammalia; Carnivora; Felidae.